CGACGUGAGUAACCUGCCUCUAAGAGGGGAAUAACAUUCUGAAAAGAAUGCUAAUACCGCAUAACAUAUAUUUAUCGCAUGGUAGAUAUAUCAAAGAUUUAUCGCUUAGAGAUGGACUCGCGUCCGAUUAGUUAGUUGGUGAGGUAACGGCUCACCAAGACCGCGAUCGGUAGCCGGACUGAGAGGUUGAACGGCCACAUUGGGACUGAGACACGGCCCAG
Molecule: ribosomal RNA, 221 nt
Filed under: uncultured bacterium
Lineage: Bacteria
Description: partial 16S ribosomal RNA
Rfam family: Bacterial small subunit ribosomal RNA
Source: RNAcentral